CCAGCCCUAAAGGGACUGGGCUUGCAAGAGUAAUCAAGCAAGCCGUACUGACCAGACCACCCUGAGUUUACUCUCAUGGUAGCCGUUAUUUGAGUCACGACACCCCGGAAUGCGAAGCUAGUUCCCUGCUCUGUCGCUUGUGAUUAAACAGUUCUAAGGUCACUGGAACAGUGUUGCAAGCCUAACAAGCUCUUAUAACAGGUCGUUCGCGCCAGCGUGCCGGAGGCAUCUAGCUAACAUUAC
Aphanizomenon flos-aquae is the source of this 243-nucleotide non-coding RNA. The record is from Rfam. Lineage: Bacteria; Bacillati; Cyanobacteriota; Cyanophyceae; Nostocales; Aphanizomenonaceae.